This is a long non-coding RNA of Oncorhynchus keta (chum salmon), 245 nucleotides long. RefSeq lists it as uncharacterized. Lineage: Eukaryota; Metazoa; Chordata; Actinopteri; Salmoniformes; Salmonidae. The record is from RefSeq and is a predicted model, not a curated record. The transcript is spliced from 3 exons.
GUAGUGCACUAUAUAGGGAAUAGGGCCCUGGUCUAAAGUAGUGCACUAUAUAGGGAAUAGGGCCCUGGUCUAAAGUAGUGCACUAUAUAGGGAAUAGGGCCCUGGUCUAAAGUAGUGCACUAUAGAGGGAAUAGGGUGCCAUUUGGAACACACACAGUGACUGACUCCUCUACUGAGGAUGAAGAGACUAACGAUCUGUUCGUUUUCUCGUGUUCUGCACCCUCUGAGUCUACCAAAGUGGGAUC